CGGUUUGCCACCAUUGGCCUCGGUUAUUUGGGGAACAAUGGGGGGGGCUGCACCACAUUAUUAAAAGGCAGCGACUAAUGAUGAAAUGCGUGUGAAUUGAUGUUUAAUUAGGUCUUCAUAUAUACGUGUUAAACUUCUUUAUGUAUGAAGAGUUUAUAGUUCAGAUAAUUGUUAAGAUCUUCAGCAAAAACAAAUAGCUUAAGUAUAGUAAUAACAUAUAAGAUGAAAGUUUCAGUCCUGACAUUUCCUUUGGUCUCUGCUUAAUUCAAGCAUUUAAAGCGCGCGCUUGUGUGUGUGUGUGUGUGUGUGUGUGUGUGUGUCCUUCCCUCCUGGUGUUGGGAGAAAAAAAAAAUCCGUGAAUAGGAAUUCUGUUAUUUGUCACUAACGUGUCGUGCCCCGACCCCCACUUCUCUUAGUGUUUCCUUCAGUCUCCGAUUUUCCGGUUGCUUGCUCAACCCGGGAAAAUUCAAAAGGAAGUGACCCCGCCUUCUCAUUAAUAUUUAACACUAAGGGGCUGGAAGGAAGCAUCAGAAAAACCCUCUCAAGAAAUUCAACCUGGGUCUGCCCGCCCCACACGGCCGCCGCCCCCGCCCUGCGCGCUUUCCUCUACAGCACAAUAGCCCGGCGGAGCCGCGGAGCUUGCACAGCCCGAACAGCCCUCUGGAGCCAAACUGAACUCCAGCCCGCAAGGCAGCCUCCGGGCGGAUGGACAGUCCCGGGCCCCCAGUGGUGAACACGGCGGUCAGGGGCUCAGGGCGGUGUGGGCGCGCACCAGGGAUCGCGUUUCUGCCCUUCUGCAGCUGCGUGACUGUCCCCGCACCUGGAGCCCUGCGCGAGGUGGUUUGCACCCUCCAAAGACCCUUGCUAGUGUGGGAGGGAUGCUGAGGAAGGAUUUGUCUUGCAGAGUGGCCAGUGCCCCAGACCUGGUAAGAGCAUCUCAACAGCCUCCCUCCUCUCCCUCUUCCUUCUCUUUACUACAUCCUACCUAAUGAUCAGACC
RNAcentral lists this long non-coding RNA (999 nucleotides) under Fukomys damarensis (Damara mole-rat). RNAcentral describes it as "lncRNA (ENSFDAG00000029972.1)". The record is from RNAcentral. Lineage: Eukaryota; Metazoa; Chordata; Mammalia; Rodentia; Bathyergidae.